RNAcentral lists this ribosomal RNA (447 nucleotides) under uncultured bacterium. RNAcentral describes it as "SSU rRNA". It matches the Rfam family "Bacterial small subunit ribosomal RNA", at positions 26 to 518 of the family's 1533-position model. The record is from RNAcentral.
AGAACGAACGCUGGCGGCAGGCCUCAAACAUGCAAGUCUAGGGGGUGUAGCAAUACAUCACCGGCGGACGGGUGCGUAACGCGUGGGAAUGUACCUAUUGGUUCGGAACAACCCAGGGAAACUUGGGCUAAUACCGAAUGUGCCCGAAAGGGGAAAGAUUUAUCGCCAAUGGAUCAGCCCGCGUAGGAUUAGCUAGUUGGUGGGGUAAUGGCCCACCAAGGCUCCGAUCCUUAGCUGUUCUGAGAGGAAGAUCAGCCACACUGGGACUGAGACACGGCCCAGACUCCUACGGGAGGCAGCAGUUGGGAAUCUUGGACAAUGGGGGAAACCCUGAUCCAGCCAUGCCGCGUGAGUGAUGAAGGCCUUCGGGUUGUAAACUCUUUCGCGCACGACGAUAAUGACGGUAGUGCGAGAAGAAGCUCCGGCUAACUUCGUGCCAGCAGCCGC